GACGAACGCUGGCGGCGCGCCUAACACAUGCAAGUCGAACGAGCGAGAGAGAGCUUGCUUUCUCGAGCGAGUGGCGAACGGGUGAGUAACGCGUGAGGAACCUGCCUCAAAGAGGGGGACAACAGUUGGAAACGACUGCUAAUACCGCAUAAGCCCACGGGUCGGCAUCGACCAGAGGGAAAAGGAGCAAUCCGCUUUGAGAUGGCCUCGCGCCCGAUUAGCUAGUUGGUGAGGUAACGGCCCACCAAGGCAACGAUCGGUAGCCGGACUGAGAGGUUGAACGGCCACAUUGGGACUGAGACACGGCCCAGACUCCUACGGGAGGCAGCAGUGGGGAGUAUUGCACAAUGGGGGAAACCCUGAUGCAGCGACGCCGCGUGGAGGAAGAAGGUCUUCGGAUUGUAAACUCCUGUUGUUGGGGAAGAUAAUGACGGUACCCAACAAGGAAGUGACGGCUAACUACGUGCCAGCAGCCGCGGUAAAACGUAGGUCACAAGCGUUGUCCGGAAUUACUGGGUGUAAAGGGAGCGCAGGCGGGAAGACAAGUUGGAAGUGAAAUCUAUGGGCUCAACCCAUAAACUGCUUUCAAAACUGUUUUUCUUGAGUAGUGCAGAGGUAGGCGGAAUUCCCGGUGUAGCGGUGGAAUGCGUAGAUAUCGGGAGGAACACCAGUGGCGAAGGCGGCCUACUGGGCACCAACUGACGCUGAGGCUCGAAAGUGUGGGUAGCAAACAGGAUUAGAUACCCUGGUAGUCCACACCGUAAACGAUGAUUACUAGGUGUUGGAGGAUUGACCCCUUCAGUGCCGCAGUUAACACAAUAAGUAAUCCACCCUGGGGAGUACGACCGCAAGGUUGAAACUCAAAGGAAUUGACGGGGGCCCGCACAAGCAGUGGAGUAUGUGGUUUAAUUCGACGCAACGCGAAGAACCUUACCAAGUCUUGACAUCCCUUGACAGACAUAGAAAUAUGUAUUCUCUUCGGAGCAAGGAGACAGGUGGUGCAUGGUUGUCGUCAGCUCGUGUCGUGAGAUGUUGGGUUAAGUCCCGCAACGAGCGCAACCCUUAUGGUCAGUUACUACGCAAGAGGACUCUGGCCAGACUGCCGUUGACAAAACGGAGGAAGGUGGGGAUGACGUCAAAUCAUCAUGCCCUUUAUGACUUGGGCUACACACGUACUACAAUGGCGUUAAACAAAGAGAAGCAAGACCGCGAGGUGGAGCAAAACUCAGAAACAACGUCCCAGUUCGGACUGCAGGCUGCAACUCGCCUGCACGAAGUCGGAAUUGCUAGUAAUCGUGGAUCAGCAUGCCACGGUGAAUACGUUCCCGGGCCU
Molecule: ribosomal RNA, 1333 nt
Filed under: uncultured bacterium
Lineage: Bacteria
Description: bacterial SSU rRNA
Rfam family: Bacterial small subunit ribosomal RNA
Source: RNAcentral